GACAGAGGUGCCGAGCGUUAGGCGGAAUCACUGGGCUUAAAGCGUGUGUAGGCGGGUCCGUAAGUACCUUGUGAAAUCCCAUGGCUCAACCAUGGAACUGCUUGGUAUACUGCGGAUCUUGAGCCACCUAGGGGCAUGUGGAACUUCCGGUGGAGCGGUGAAAUGCGUAGAUAUCGGAAGGAACGCCGGUGGCGAAAGCGACGUGCUGGACCUCUUCUGACGCUGAGGCGCGAAAGCCAGGGGAGCAAACGGG
Molecule: ribosomal RNA, 253 nt
Filed under: uncultured bacterium
Lineage: Bacteria
Description: partial 16S ribosomal RNA
Rfam family: Bacterial small subunit ribosomal RNA
Source: RNAcentral